ACGGGAAUCUCCGCAUUAGCAAUAGUGUGGAGGUUUCAGUGGCGAAAGGGUGAGUAACACGUGGGCAAUCUGCCCUCCUGUGGGGGACAACCUCGAGAAAUCGAGGCUAAUACCGCAUGUGGUUAAGGGUCUAAUGAUCUGAAAACCAAAGCUGGGGAUCCGCAAGGACCUGGCGCAGGAGGAGGAGCCCGCGUCCUAUCAGCUAGUUGGUGAGGUUACGGCUCACCAAGGCUUACGGGUAGCUGGUCUGAGAGGACGACCAGCCACACUGGGACUGAGACACGGCCCAGACACCUACGGGUGGCAGCAGUCGAGAAUUUUUCUCAAUGGGCGAAAGCCUGAAGGAGCGACGCCGCGUGGGGGAUGAAGGACUUCGGUUCGUAAACCCCUGUCACCCGGGAACAAACCUCCGAGUUUAAUAUGCUCGGAGCUGAUUGUACCGGGAGAGGAAGGCACGGCUAACUCUGUGCCAGCAGCCGCGGUAAUACAGAGGUGCCAAGCGUUGUUCGGAUUUACUGGGCGUAAAGGGUGCGUAGGCGGUCGCGUAAGUCGGACGUGAAAUCCCGGGGCCUAACCCCGGAACGGCGUUCGAAACUGCGUGGCUAGAGGUCUGGAGAGGUGACUGGAAUUCUCGGUGUAGCAGUGAAAUGCGUAGAUAUCGAGAGGAACGCCAGAGGCGAAAGCGAGUCACUGGACAGAACCUGACGCUGAGGCACGAAAGCUAGGGGAGCAAACGGGAUUAGAUACCCCGGUAGUCCUAGCUGUAAACGGUGCGCAUUUGAGGUGGGGGGGAUUCGACCCCCUUCGUCUCGCAGCAAACGCGUUAAAUGCGCCGCCUGGGGAGUACGGUCGCAAGAUUAAAACUCAAAGAAAUUGACGGGGGCCCGCACAAGCGGUGGAGCAUGUGGCUUAAUUCGAUGCAACGCGAAGAACCUUACCUGGCCUUGACAUGCAAGUAGUAGGAGGAUGAAGUCCAACGAUCCCGCAGGGAAGCUUGCACAGGUGCUGCAUGGCUGUCGUCAGCUCGUGCCGUGAGGU
Molecule: ribosomal RNA, 1038 nt
Filed under: uncultured bacterium
Lineage: Bacteria
Description: bacterial SSU rRNA
Rfam family: Bacterial small subunit ribosomal RNA
Source: RNAcentral